Molecule: transfer RNA, 66 nt
Filed under: Nicrophorus quadripunctatus
Lineage: Eukaryota; Metazoa; Arthropoda; Insecta; Coleoptera; Silphidae
Description: tRNA-His
Source: RNAcentral
UAUUUAAAUAGUUUAAAAAAAAUAUUAGUUUGUGGGACUGAGGAUAUGAUUAAUUCAUUUUAGAUA